AGGACGAACGCUGGCGGCGUGCUUAACACAUGCAAGUCGAGCGGAAAGGCCCUUCGGGGUACUCGAGCGGCGAACGGGUGAGUAACACGUGAGUAACCUGCCCCUAGCUCUGGGAUAGCUCCGGGAAACCGGGAUUAAUACCAGAUACGACCACUUUAGACAUCUGUCGUGGUGGAAAGGAUUCCGGCUAGGGAUGGGCUCGCGGCCUAUCAGCUUGUGGUGGGGUAACGCCUACAAGGCGACGACGGGUA
Molecule: ribosomal RNA, 251 nt
Filed under: uncultured bacterium
Lineage: Bacteria
Description: partial small subunit ribosomal RNA
Rfam family: Bacterial small subunit ribosomal RNA
Source: RNAcentral